This 95-nucleotide non-coding RNA is filed under the name Streptomyces uncialis. RNAcentral describes it as "Glycine sequence". It matches the Rfam family "Glycine riboswitch aptamer". From Rfam's summary of the family: This family represents the bacterial glycine riboswitch. Glycine riboswitches usually consist of two metabolite-binding aptamers domains with similar structures in tandem. The record is from Rfam by way of RNAcentral. Lineage: Bacteria; Bacillati; Actinomycetota; Actinomycetes; Kitasatosporales; Streptomycetaceae.
UGAAUCCGCGCGGGAGAGCCCUCGGCCGACGCCGGGGCGCCGAAGGAGCAAGUCCCUCCCUUGAAUCUCUCAGGCCCAGUUACCGCGCGGGCGAG